RNAcentral lists this long non-coding RNA (1809 nucleotides) under Homo sapiens (human). Its description in RNAcentral is "non-protein coding RUNX2-AS1:22". The record is from RNAcentral. Lineage: Eukaryota; Metazoa; Chordata; Mammalia; Primates; Hominidae.
UCUGUUUCUCACACACAUCCAUGAGGGAAGAAUCAUUCCCAUUUAACAGACAAUGUAACUGGGCCUGAAUAUAGCUCAGCGACUUGCCCCAGGCCCACCAGGAAGUGGAUAAAGCCAUGCUCAACCCAGCACUUCUUCUCUCUACCUUCCACCGAUCCUGCCUGCUCAUCUUCCCUCCUUGGUGAAGGCAUGUGUGCUGUGCUCUGCUUAACUAAUUUCCCUCAGAUAUUCGCAUUUCUGUCUUUACAAUUUGGCAUCCCAGUGAGGUUUCCCUUUGUAUAUUUUCCGGUUCCUAUAUUCCCAUUAUUCAGGUAUCAUCACUCAAUAACCAUUUGACAGCAGUAAUGCUUUUCACAUGGAAAGAAUUGGGUUUUUAUUGAUGGCAAAUGUUGUGAUGAACUUUCAUGCCCACUUGGAGCCGGAGCACUUUUUUAUAGAAUGAACCACAAUGAGAAGCGUUUCCAAGAAAUGUCUUUGGAGUGUGGACUGAGAUGCCUUGGAAGCAAAGCCCCCAGGAAUGACUGGAAGACAACACUCUGCAGACCCCUUCCACAGGGUACCCCUGCUCUCCAGGAAGGGCCUUCAGGGCAGCAUUUGGAGGUGGCAUGAGCUAGCAGCGGCGUGCAGCCUGGUCACUGUCUGAUCUGGUCAGCCCAGCCGCACAGAACACCACACAGGCUCUGGCAGCUCCCUGGGAAAGAAGAAAGCAGCAUCUUGCAUGUGUGGCUUAUUCUGAAAGGAAUAGUAUCUGAGGGAUUUGAUGGACUCUGACAGGGGGAAGAAGGUAGUGAAAAAGAUGGAACAAAGAUGCCAUUUAAAAAUACUGGCUCGUGUUCAGGAUUUCGCUAUUUUUUACUGCAAGGAACAAGUAAAAAAAAAAAUCCUCCUAUUGAUGAGUAUUUUUCUACAGUCAUUAAAAGUCAAAGGACUCAGGGCUUCCGACUUUCCCUCUUGGGAAACCUGUAAGCUCGUCUUCUGGACAGCUUAGAAAAGGGCUGGAUGGCGAAGGCGAGAGGCUUAAAGGCCCCCAGCAAGCAGCUCCGCCGAGGAACGGGUGCAGGGGACACACUGUGUUUUCAGUUCAGAUUCUGUGAUCUUUCUGCCAAACAGGGGUUUACAAAGCAAAAACCUCCAGAGAAUUCUCAUACUUUCUGGCUUAUUCUCCUGGUGUUCGUCUUAACAGGAAUCAGCUGUUUGCCUUCUCACUUAUACAGCAUGUUGCUGAGGCGAAUUUAGCAUCUGGCCUGGCUAUUAUUAAAAACAAGAACAUCCUGCUCUGUUGGGAGAACAGCACCACUGGCAAUAAAAGGACAGAGAUCAUUUGCAUUCAGGAUUCCAGAGAUGUGUUUCAGUUCAAUAUCUGCGCUCCCUCCUUCCACCCCUGCUUUCAUUUUAAGAUUUCCUGAUGCAUCCAUCACUUGCAGCGUGGUCAACUUUUUUUCUGAAACAGGCACACACAGGCAGAGCAUAUUUUUUCCUUUCACUGGGAGGCAGGAAUGACUGGAGUUGUUCAAACACCGGUCCGUUCCUGCAAUUCCUAUGAUAAAGUUGAACUACCAGAGGAAUUUUUUUUUUUUUUUUUACAACUGCGGAAAUGAAAAAGUAAACAAGACUGGGACUGCAUUGGUAUUUAGGCUCCAGCUUUUUGUUGUUGUUUUUGUCUUUCCCUUUUUUUAAGCCAUUGGGCUAGGAGCCUGAAGGGACCAUAUAAUAUGAAAAACGCUGAGAGGUUUUAUUAGCCAAUAAAAAAAAAAACUGAGUUCCUAUUAACCACUUAACUCCUUGCUGAAGUUCAAACUUGCUUUCUCC